AAUCUUCACAUCAAUACUAGCUAACUAAAUAGUUAAUUUAUUUAAAAUAUUAAAGUAAUAUCUCACAUUAGUAAGUAUGGUUCCUUGAAAACAUUCAUCAUAUGUACAAUUUCUUCUUUUAAGUACAUACAAUUUGUGAAAGACUUUGAUAUUUACAAUCUUUCCAAUUUCUUUUACAAGAUAAUUGGUGGAGUCUCUUCCAAAA
This 205-nucleotide unclassified non-coding RNA is filed under the name Hevea brasiliensis (rubber tree). The record is from RNAcentral. Lineage: Eukaryota; Viridiplantae; Streptophyta; Magnoliopsida; Malpighiales; Euphorbiaceae.